GCGGGCGUAGUUCAAUGGUAGAAUACAAGCCUUCCAAGCUUGAUACGUGGGUUCGAUUCCCACCGCCCGCUCCA
Molecule: transfer RNA, 74 nt
Filed under: Candidatus Omnitrophota bacterium
Lineage: Bacteria; Pseudomonadati; Candidatus Omnitrophota
Description: Candidatus Omnitrophica bacterium (sediment metagenome) tRNA-Gly
Rfam family: tRNA
About the family: Transfer RNA (tRNA) molecules are approximately 80 nucleotides in length. Their secondary structure includes four short double-helical elements and three loops (D, anti-codon, and T loops). Further hydrogen bonds mediate the characteristic L-shaped molecular structure. tRNAs have two regions of fundamental functional importance: the anti-codon, which is responsible for specific mRNA codon recognition, and the 3' end, to which the tRNAs corresponding amino acid is attached (by aminoacyl-tRNA synthetases). tRNAs cope with the degeneracy of the genetic code in two manners: having more than one tRNA (with a specific anti-codon) for a particular amino acid; and 'wobble' base-pairing, i.e. permitting non-standard base-pairing at the 3rd anti-codon position.
Source: RNAcentral